CAGCUCCAUCACUCCCUGACAGGCCGCAGUAACGGUCACAGCACUGCUCCACUUCCUACGACGGAUCCCGCGCAGCUCCACUACUCCCUGGCAAGCCACGAUAACGGCCACAAUCCUGCUCCACUUCCUGCGACGGAUACCGCACGAUUCUUCCAUCCGCUGGCAAGUCGCGACAACGGACGUCGCUCCACUCCCCGCGGC
Molecule: long non-coding RNA, 201 nt
Filed under: Elaeis guineensis (African oil palm)
Lineage: Eukaryota; Viridiplantae; Streptophyta; Magnoliopsida; Arecales; Arecaceae
Description: long non-coding RNA (EGUI_LNC066354)
Source: RNAcentral